AGACUGCUGCCACGCCGGCUGGCUAGGUCGCUCUGACAUAAUAAGCAUAUCAGCAAGCUAAGAACUUUUGAGGUGGAGUCCGGCCCCCACAGAGUGAAGAGAGUUCAGAGGAAUCUUCGACAGGACGACUCGAACCCUGAGGACCAAGUAACCCAGAGUUGGCUGACAUCUCUGAGCCAGUGCUGCUCUCACCCACCUGAAGAGCGAGUGCCUCAGACCUGCCUGCACCCAACUUGAAACCCAUCAGAGUAUCAAAGUCAAUUGCACACACCUGAAGACAACACUGGACCCAUACACACCAGGAAAGGAAGUGAUACCACCUGUACCCACUGGAACAAGAGAUGGGAAGACAACAAUAUAAGAACACAUCCAACAACAGGAAAACCAACAUGAUACCACCAGAGCCUAGGGACUCCACACCAGCAAGACAUGAAUACCACAACACAGAAGAAGCAGAAGAGAGCAACCUUAAAAACAACUUCAUGGAAAUGAUAGAGAAUCUAAGAGAGGAAAUCAGAAAAUCCUUCAGAGAAAUGGAAGAAAAGACAAACCAAAAGAUACAAGAAAUCAAGGAAAACCAAAAAAGCCAAGAAAAUACAAUUAAACAGCUGAAGAAAACAGUUCAGGACCUGAAAACUGAAUUAGAGACAAUAAGGAAAAUACAAACUGAGGGAAUGCUGGAAGUGGAAAUAGUAAACAAUCAGGAACCACAGAUGCAAGCAUAACCAAUAGAAUACAAGAGAUGGAAGACAGAAUCUCAGACGCUGAAGACAAACUAGAGGAAAUAAACUCAUCAAGCAAAGAAAAUCUGAAGUCUAACAAAACCAUAACACAAAAUAUUCAGGAAAUUUUGAAAAGACCAAACCUAAGGAUAAUAGGUAUAGAAGAAGGUGAAAAAACCCAACUAAAAAGUGCAGAAAACAUAUUCAACAAAAUCGUAGAAGAAAACUUUCCCAACCUAAGGAAAG
RNAcentral lists this long non-coding RNA (968 nucleotides) under Cricetulus griseus (Chinese hamster). Its description in RNAcentral is "lncRNA (ENSCGRG00015039366.1)". The record is from RNAcentral. Lineage: Eukaryota; Metazoa; Chordata; Mammalia; Rodentia; Cricetidae.